RNAcentral lists this transfer RNA (70 nucleotides) under Ptilometra sp. DH-R. RNAcentral describes it as "tRNA-Asp". It matches the Rfam family "tRNA". Rfam says of the family: Transfer RNA (tRNA) molecules are approximately 80 nucleotides in length. Their secondary structure includes four short double-helical elements and three loops (D, anti-codon, and T loops). Lineage: Eukaryota; Metazoa; Echinodermata; Crinoidea; Comatulida; Ptilometridae. The record is from RNAcentral.
AGAAAAUUAGUUAAAAAAAUAACAAUGGGCUGUCAAACCAUAAUAGCUAGUUUAAUCCUAGCAUUUUCUA